RNAcentral lists this long non-coding RNA (855 nucleotides) under Panax ginseng (ginseng). RNAcentral describes it as "long non-coding RNA (PGIN_LNC007569)". Lineage: Eukaryota; Viridiplantae; Streptophyta; Magnoliopsida; Apiales; Araliaceae. The record is from RNAcentral.
CAAUUUUUCUUCUGAUUACGAACAAAUUAAGAACAUCAGAGGGCAUAUAUACGCAAUCAUAUAGAAAUAGAAAGUGGAGCCAAACAGAGGGAAUAUAUAUAGGGAGAGAAGGAAACUAAGAUCAUGGCCAUCGCCAUCUUCACCACAAACUUAGAAGAAGAGAAAAACACCAUAAUCUGUAUUGAAAGCUUGGACAGAUCGUAUGGUGGAUCUCUUAUGGGUGUGGGAUUUUAGAUCUGCUGGUGUUGGGAGUUUUGGAAGCUGGAUCUUGUUCGGAUCUAAUUCUUUUUUUAAUCACUUUUCGAACUGUUCAUACUGGAAUAUGGGGUUUCUAGGCUUUGAUUUAUUUCCGGUGGUUUGGUUAUGUGGCCCUAUUGGGUUUCAUGUUUCCUGUCGUUCAGUGUGCUUGUACAAUCUGGGUUAUUGUUAGCAUAUCUAGAUUUGGAGUUUUAAAUUGAUUUAAAUUGAAGUCUCUCCUCGAUGGGUCUAAUUAAUUUGUGGAUUUCCCAACUGAUUCUUUAUGCUUAUUGUUGUCUCUCUUUGCCGAAUCAAUUGGGUGUUUGUUUUCUUAGUGUUGUCUCUCUUGGCUGAGGUUUGAUUGAGUUCGUCAUGGGCAGAUGGUUUGGUCGUUGUUGCUGGUUUGGGAUCCUUUGUGUUGUAUAAUUUUCUUGUGGUGGGUUUUAUGUUGACGAUGCCGUCUUGAAGAAGAUGAAGUUUUAUAAUAAAUAAAUAAUUUUUUUAGAUAUAGUUCUUUGUGUUGUUUUUUGGUUAAAUGAUAUAAAUAUUAAUGUUUUUUAUUUUUUUAUUUUUUUGUUUGAUUAAUUAACAUGUUGUUUUAUUUAGUUUUUAAUUUUA